UACGUAGGGGGCAAGCGUUGUCCGGAAUCAUUGGGCGUAAAGAGCGUGUAGGCGGCCUGGUAAGUCCGCUGUGAAAGUCCAGGGCUCAACCCUGGAAUGCCGGUGGAAACUGUCAGGCUCGAGUCCGGAAGAGGCGAGUGGAAUUCCUGGUGUAGCGGUGAAAUGCGCAGAUAUCAGGAGGAACACCAAUGGCGAAGGCAGCUCGCUGGGACGGUACUGACGCUGAGACGCGAAAGCGUGGGAGCAAACAGG
RNAcentral lists this ribosomal RNA (252 nucleotides) under uncultured bacterium. RNAcentral describes it as "partial 16S ribosomal RNA". It matches the Rfam family "Bacterial small subunit ribosomal RNA", at positions 524 to 776 of the family's 1533-position model. The record is from RNAcentral.